AAAUGCGAUACUUGGUGUGAAUUGCAGAAUCCCGUGAACCAUCGAGUCUUUGAACGCAAGUUGCGCCCGAAGCCAUUAGGCCGAGGGCACGUCUGCCUGGGUGUCACACAACGUUGCCCAUCCGCCCUUGUCCCUCGCACGAGGGCUUCGUGGGAUGGGCGGA
RNAcentral lists this ribosomal RNA (163 nucleotides) under Mezoneuron cucullatum. Its description in RNAcentral is "5.8S ribosomal RNA". The stretch from base 1 to 106 matches the Rfam family "5.8S ribosomal RNA", at positions 51 to 154 of the family's 154-position model. Rfam says of the family: 5.8S ribosomal RNA (5.8S rRNA) is a component of the large subunit of the eukaryotic ribosome. It is transcribed by RNA polymerase I as part of the 45S precursor that also contains 18S and 28S rRNA. Lineage: Eukaryota; Viridiplantae; Streptophyta; Magnoliopsida; Fabales; Fabaceae. The record is from RNAcentral.